UGGUGGUUGAAGUGCUCACACCUCCCGAUAGAAAAACUAAAAUCCAUCUGAUCUCCAUCUCAAUAUUAAAAAAUCUGUCACUGAAUCUGAGUAGGGAGCUCUCCACACUCUCCAGUCUAGUAGUCAGAUCAGACAAGAGCUCCAUCAAUGAAGAUAUGUGUGGCACCAUAGAAAAAUUUAAGGAAGAAUUAGAGAAAGAAUUCAUGGAGCCUAGCGAUACUACUACUGCACC
RNAcentral lists this long non-coding RNA (232 nucleotides) under Elaeis guineensis (African oil palm). Its description in RNAcentral is "long non-coding RNA (EGUI_LNC067016)". Lineage: Eukaryota; Viridiplantae; Streptophyta; Magnoliopsida; Arecales; Arecaceae. The record is from RNAcentral.